GACGACGCUGCGCGAGUGCUAAUACAUGCAAGUCGAGCGGAAUGACGGAGGGCGUUGACGUCUCUGAUUUUAGCGGCGGACGGGUGAGUAACACGUGGGCAACCUGCCCUACAGAUGGGGAUAACUCCGGGAAACCGGGGCUAAUACCGAAUAAUCAGUUUGUCCGCAUGGACAAACUCUGAAAGACGGUUUCGGCUGUCACUGUAGGAUGGGCCCGCGGCGCAUUAGCUAGUUGGUGGGGUAAUGGCCUACCAAGGCAACGAUGCGUAGCCGACCUGAGAGGGUGAUCGGCCACACUGGGACUGAGACACGGCCCAG
This 318-nucleotide ribosomal RNA is filed under the name uncultured bacterium. RNAcentral describes it as "bacterial SSU rRNA". It matches the Rfam family "Bacterial small subunit ribosomal RNA", at positions 33 to 334 of the family's 1533-position model. The record is from RNAcentral.